UCUUUGCUAGUAUAUCGGAUAGUACAGCCGCCUGUCAUGUGCUGGUGGCCGGAUCGCGGCAGAGCUGGGUUCGACUCCCAGGCAGAGAG
Molecule: non-coding RNA, 89 nt
Organism: Hygrophoropsis aurantiaca
Lineage: Eukaryota; Fungi; Basidiomycota; Agaricomycetes; Boletales; Hygrophoropsidaceae
Source: the annotation of a GenBank genome assembly